This 229-nucleotide ribosomal RNA is filed under the name uncultured bacterium. RNAcentral's name for it is "partial 16S ribosomal RNA". It matches the Rfam family "Bacterial small subunit ribosomal RNA", at positions 568 to 796 of the family's 1533-position model. The record is from RNAcentral.
UCCGUAGGUGGAUAAUUAAGUCAGAGGUGAAAUCCUGCAGCUCAACUGUAGAAUUGCCUUUGAUACUGGUUAUCUUGAGUUAUUAUGAAGUAGUUAGAAUAUGUAGUGUAGCGGUGAAAUGCAUAGAUAUUACAUAGAAUACCAAUUGCGAAGGCAGAUUACUAAUAAUCAACUGACACUGAUGGACGAAAGCGUAGGGAGCGAACAGGAUUAGAUACCCUGGUAGUCC